AGUCAUGAAACUAAUGAUGUGGAAUUGUGAAAGGAGACAUCAGGAGAGUUUGUAACCUGUGUGGCACCGAUUGCCCCUUUAUUUGACUAAUUUUACCUCUAUGUCUGUUUGGUUGUUGUUUCUAUUGCUGUGUACUUGUUCUACUUGCACAUGGCUUGAGUGUACUUAGGACAAGUUUUGUUCAUACAUACCAGUACAAUUCAAAUGUACUGACGUCCCUUUUGCCAAGGGCGUUAUAUUCGUGUUAUGAUUGUAGGUGGAUCUUCAGCAGGUACUCCAGUUCACCGUCCAUAGAUCUCCGUCAUUCUUUGUCAGCUGCAUUGGUGAGCCCCUUUCCUUCAGGGGACCUGCAUGGCUCAUGCCACCCUUGUUCUUAUAUUUUGGAGACUUAUUUUGGUGUUUGUAAAAAGGUAUAGCCGGAGCCUUGUUAUAUAGUACUGUCACCUUGUAUCCUUAGAGGCUCCGCAGACACGAAGUGUGGGUCACAAACCAUGUAUAAUGUACUUGUAUUUAGGAUAAUGUAAUUUGUAAACCACGCUUAUAUCAUGUAUUGCUUGAUAAAAGGUAUUUCAAUCAUAAAUGGUGGUUUCCAUUUGGUUAAUAAAUAACAAAAAUGUGGCGUAACUUAUGGGUCUGGGAAAGGCAUUCAGGUCCACUCGACUGGGGAUACCCGGUUGAGUGCCAGUCAUGUCCCUCGGAUUUGGGGCGUGACAUGCAUAUCUUAUUUUCAGAAAGUGUGAGGUACUUGUUUUUGGGGUCCCAUUUUGGAGCUUGAGUAUCAUAACCAAGUCCUCUUUUAUUGCUACUGUAAUGCUCUUGCAACCAGGAGAGAGCAUCAGAAGUUUUAUUCCAUUUGCAAGUUCAGUCUAGUUCAUGUUUCACC
Molecule: long non-coding RNA, 883 nt
Filed under: Nicotiana benthamiana
Lineage: Eukaryota; Viridiplantae; Streptophyta; Magnoliopsida; Solanales; Solanaceae
Description: long non-coding RNA (NBEN_LNC021998)
Source: RNAcentral